GUGGCGCAUCGCUACUUCGGAUUAAAAGGGAAUCAGGUGAAAGUCCUGGACAGUCCCGCUGCUGUGAAGCUCGUUAAAGCUCCUUGGCAUUUGCUAAUUGCCACUGACUUGUCAGCGAUGAGAGGUCGGGAAGGCGUCAGGGAGUGAGUCAGUCAGAAGACCUGCCAUUCAUUAA
Molecule: non-coding RNA, 175 nt
Filed under: bovine gut metagenome
Source: RNAcentral